GAUGAACGCUGGCGGCGUGCCUAAUACAUGCAAGUCGAGCGAACAGACGAGGAGCUUGCUCCUCUGACGUUAGCGGCGGACGGGUGAGUAACACGUGGAUAACCUACCUAUAAGACUGGGAUAACUUCGGGAAACCGGAGCUAAUACCGGAUAAUAUAUUGAACCGCAUGGUUCAAUAGUGAAAGACGGUUUUGCUGUCACUUAUAGAUGGAUCCGCGCCGCAUUAGCUAGUUGGUAAGGUAACGGCUUACCAAGGCAACGAUGCGUAGCCGACCUGAGAGGGGGAUCGGCCACACUGGAACUGAGAGACGGUCCAGACUCCUACGGGAGGCAGAAGUAGGGAAUCUUCCGAAAUGGGCGAAAGCCUGACGGAGCAACGCCGCGUGAGUGAUGAAGGUCUUCGGAUCGUAAAACUCUGUUAGUAGGGAAGAACAAAUGUGUAAGUAACUAUGCACGUCUUGACGGUACCUAAUCAGAAAGCCACGGCUAACUACGUG
RNAcentral lists this ribosomal RNA (497 nucleotides) under uncultured bacterium. RNAcentral describes it as "partial 16S ribosomal RNA". It matches the Rfam family "Bacterial small subunit ribosomal RNA", at positions 28 to 507 of the family's 1533-position model. The record is from RNAcentral.